This 253-nucleotide ribosomal RNA is filed under the name uncultured bacterium. RNAcentral's name for it is "partial 16S ribosomal RNA". It matches the Rfam family "Bacterial small subunit ribosomal RNA", at positions 524 to 776 of the family's 1533-position model. The record is from RNAcentral.
GACAGAGGGUGCAAACGUUGUUCGGAAUUACUGGGCGUAAAGCGCGUGUAGGCGGCUUGGCAAGUCGGGUGUGAAAGCCCCGGGCUCAACCUGGGAAGUGCACUCGAAACUGCUUGGCUUGAGUACUGGAGAGGGAAGCGGAAUUCUCGGUGUAGAGGUGAAAUUCGUAGAUAUCGAGAGGAACACCGGUGGCGAAGGCGGCUUCCUGGACAGUUACUGACGCUCAUGCACGAAAGCGUGGGGAGCAAACAGG